CUUCUCAGGAGCAGCCUACUUCUGAUGACUGAGGAAGACAAGGGUAUAAAUGUCCAGUGCUUUCAGUUCAAUAUAAGACAAUGCAGAUAUUUAUUCCAAAUCAAUCCUGCACCAGAAGCUCCAUUUCUGCAUUCGCUUCCAGAAAACACAGCAGCCGUAUGUGAAUUUGGGAGUGGUCCCACGAACCGGUUAUGAGACGAGGUUUUGGAGCUGGAUCACACCUGACACAACUGGCAUUGAAAACCUUAUUACCAAGAGCCUCUGGCACAAGGCUGCUAUGAAGAAAUACCCAAGACUGGGUACUUUCUCAACUUUCAAAUUGAGCUGUUCAGAAUGUGUGAAACAAUUUUAAGAUGAAGUCAAAGAUACUUGAAGCAGAAGCUGUAUCUGAGGAAGCUGUAUAUAAACCCAAUUUAAAGCAAGUUUAACCUGCUGAUUGGGAAGAAUUUUUAUGAAAAGCUGUGUGCUUCCUGAUAAGAAAAAAGGCUUUCCUGUUUCGAUCAAACCAGAACCAGAUGAGAACUCAGCACAGGCACUGCAGCCACGGAGGUUUCCAGAUAGAAAAAUUGACACCCCUGAGAUCCCAUAACAUUUUGGGGACUCAUCUGGGAUCUGCGGAAGGAGCUUGACUCUUUUCAUUGGCAAUAAAUGGCGCCCCAACAUGGGGACUCAGAGAAGACUCAGGAGCCCCAAGCAGUUGUCCGAAAUCAGAGCUAAGGUACCAGCCAGGGUUAAUUGAAGACUCACCAAGUUCAAGCUUCUCCUUUGGUGGAACUGUCUCCCUGGCUUGAAAUCAUUGCACCAGAAGAGGCACUGGGACACAGAGCUGAGAUUGAAGAACACUUGAAAAUUAUCAAGAAUGUACUGCGGAGUAUUGAAAUUGCAAGUUAUCAUCAAAGGAAGCU
This 905-nucleotide long non-coding RNA is filed under the name Homo sapiens (human). RNAcentral describes it as "HSALNT0376600". The record is from RNAcentral. Lineage: Eukaryota; Metazoa; Chordata; Mammalia; Primates; Hominidae.